This 429-nucleotide ribosomal RNA is filed under the name Acidobacteriota bacterium. Its description in RNAcentral is "Acidobacteria bacterium partial 16S ribosomal RNA". It matches the Rfam family "Bacterial small subunit ribosomal RNA", at positions 355 to 776 of the family's 1533-position model. The record is from RNAcentral. Lineage: Bacteria; Pseudomonadati; Acidobacteriota.
UGGGGAAUUUUGGACAAUGGGGGAAACCCUGAUCCAGCCAUCCCGCGUGUGCGAUGAAGGCCUUCGGGUUGUAAAGCACUUUUGGCAGGAAAGAAACGUCAUGGGUUAAUACCCCGUGAAACUGACGGUACCAGCAGAAUAAGCACCGGCUAACUACGUGCCAGCAGCCGCGGUAAUACGUAGGGUGCAAGCGUUAAUCGGAAUUACUGGGCGUAAAGCGUGCGCAGGCGGUUCGGAAAGAAAGAUGUGAAAUCCCAGAGCUCAACUUUGGAACUGCAUUUUUAACUACCGUGCUAGAGUGUGUCAGAGGGAGGUGGAAUUCCGCGUGUAGCAGUGGAAUGCGUAGAUAUGCGGAGGAACACCGAUGGCGAAGGCAGCCUCCUGGGAUAACACUGACGCUCAUGCACGAAAGCGUGGGGAGCAAACAGG